Non-coding RNA from Triticum aestivum (bread wheat), 135 nucleotides. NCBI's taxonomy places the organism in Eukaryota, Viridiplantae, Streptophyta, Magnoliopsida, Poales, Poaceae. The record is from Rfam.
CAAAUACUCCCUCCGUCCGGAAAUACUUGUCAUCAAAAUGAAUAAAAGAGGAUGUAUCUAGAUGUAUUUUAGUUCUAGAUACAUUCCUGUUUGUCCAUUUUGAUGACAACUAUUUUCGGACGGAGGGAGUAACUU